Molecule: ribosomal RNA, 850 nt
Filed under: uncultured bacterium
Lineage: Bacteria
Description: bacterial SSU rRNA
Rfam family: Bacterial small subunit ribosomal RNA
Source: RNAcentral
GCUACCUGCAGUCGAGCGGAUGAGAGGAGCUUGCUCCUCGAUUCAGCGGCGGACGGGUGAGUAAUGCCUAGGAAUCUGCCUAGUAGUGGGGGACAACGUUUCGAAAGGAACGCUAAUACCGCAUACGUCCUACGGGAGAAAGUGGGGGAUCUUCGGACCUCACGCUAUUAGAUGAGCCUAGGUCGGAUUAGCUAGUUGGUAGGGUAAAGGCCUACCAAGGCGACGAUCCGUAACUGGUCUGAGAGGAUGAUCAGUCACACUGGAACUGAGACACGGUCCAGACUCCUACGGGAGGCAGCAGUGGGGAAUAUUGGACAAUGGGCGAAAGCCUGAUCCAGCCAUGCCGCGUGUGUGAAGAAGGCCCUCGGGUCGUAAAGCACUUUAAGUUGGGAGGAAGGGCUUACAGCGAAUACCUGUGAGUUUUGACGUUACCGACAGAAUAAGCACCGGCUAACUUCGUGCCAGCAGCCGCGGUAUACGAAGGGUGCAAGCGUUAAUCGGAAUUACUGGGCGUAAAGCGCGCGUAGGUGGCUUGAUAAGUUGGAUGUGAAAUCCCCGGGCUCAACCUGGGAACUGCAUCCAAAACUGUCUGGCUAGAGUGCGGUANANGGUAGUGGAAUUUCCAGUGUAGCGGUGGAAUGCGUANAUAUUGGAAGGAACACCAGUGGCGAAGGCGACUACCUGGACUGACACUGACACUGANGUGCGAAAGCGUGGGGAGCAAACAGGAUUAGAUACCCUGGUAGUCCACGCCGUAAACGAUGUCGACUAGCCCGUUGGGAUCCUUUGAUAUCUUAGUGGCGCACCUAACGCAUUAAGUUGACCGCCUGGGGGAGUACGGCCCCCAGGG